RNAcentral lists this ribosomal RNA (711 nucleotides) under uncultured bacterium. RNAcentral describes it as "bacterial SSU rRNA". It matches the Rfam family "Bacterial small subunit ribosomal RNA", at positions 97 to 796 of the family's 1533-position model. The record is from RNAcentral.
GGCGAACGGGUGAGUAACACGUGGGUAAUCUGCCCUCGGCACCGGAAUAGCCCGGGGAAACCCGGAUUAAUGCCGGAUGGCCUCUCGAGCCUUCGGGCUUGCGAGAAAAGGUAGCUUCGGCCUCCGGCCGAGGAUGAGCCCGCGGCCGAUUAGCUUGUUGGUGGGGUAAUGGCUCACCAAGGCGACGAUCGGUAGCUGGUCUGAGAGGACGAUCAGCCACACUGGGACUGAGACACGGCCCAGACUCCUACGGGAGGCAGCAGUGGGGAAUCUUGCGCAAUGGGCGAAAGCCUGACGCAGCGACGCCGUGUGCGGGAAGAAGGCCUUCGGGUUGUAAACCGCUUUCAGGAGGGACGAAGCCACUCAGGUUAAUAGCCGAGAGGGUGACGGUACCUCCAGAAGAAGCCCCGGCUAACUACGUGCCAGCAGCCGCGGUAAUACGUAGGGGGCUAGCGUUGUCCGGAUUUAUUGGGCGUAAAGAGCGUGUAGGCGGCCAAGUAAGUCCGGUGUGAAAACUCGAGGCUUAACCUCGAGAUGUCAUCGGAAACUAUUUGGCUAGAGUCCGGAAGAGGAGAGUGGAAUUCCUGGUGUAGCGGUGAAAUGCGCAGAUAUCAGGAAGAACACCUAUGGCGAAAGCAGCUCUCUGGGACGGUACUGACGCUGAGACGCGAAAGCGUGGGGAGCGAACAGGAUUAGAUACCCUGGUAGUCC